AGUGAACGCUGGCGGUAGGCCUAACACAUGCAAGUCGAACGACAGCACAGUAAGAGCUUGCUCUUACGGGUGGCGAGUGGCGGACGGGUGAGGAAUACAUCGGAAUCUACUUUUUCGUGGGGGAUAACGUAGGGAAACUUACGCUAAUACCGCAUACGACCUACGGGUGAAAGCAGGGGAUCUUCGGACCUUGCGCGAUUGAAUGAGCCGAUGUCGGAUUAGCUAGUUGGCGGGGUAAAGGCCCACCAAGGCGACGAUCCGUAGCUGGUCUGAGAGGAUGAUCAGCCACACUGGAACUGAGACACGGUCCAGACUCCUACGGGAGGCAGCAGUGGGGAAUAUUGGACAAUGGGCGCAAGCCUGAUCCAGCCAUACCGCGUGGGUGAAGAAGGCCUUCGGGUUGUAAAGCCCUUUUGUUGGGAAAGAAAAGCAGCAGGUUAAUACCCCGCUGUUCCGACGGUACCCAAAGAAUAAGCACCGGCUAACUUCGUG
RNAcentral lists this ribosomal RNA (492 nucleotides) under uncultured bacterium. Its description in RNAcentral is "partial 16S ribosomal RNA". It matches the Rfam family "Bacterial small subunit ribosomal RNA", at positions 29 to 507 of the family's 1533-position model. The record is from RNAcentral.